This 453-nucleotide long non-coding RNA is filed under the name Equus asinus (donkey). RNAcentral's name for it is "lncRNA (ENSEASG00005033463.1)". Lineage: Eukaryota; Metazoa; Chordata; Mammalia; Perissodactyla; Equidae. The record is from RNAcentral.
GUCGCAGAGGCGGGACUUCCGGUCGGAAGGUGGCCGCUGUCAGAGCCGGCUCGGCCGGCUGCCAGUACCCUGGUGGAGGUGUGUUGAGUUCAUAGCGACCCUGUGAGCAAGGCUGGCAGAGUGAUCUACGCAUGUAAUAGGAGCUUCUGAGGAAGCCACGUGUAAGAAGCAACCUGCUGUGAACUAGAAUUGUGAUGCUGGGAGUGAUCUGAUUCCUGCAGGCCCCUCUCCCUUCUCAGCUCUGCUACGUGGAGAGGCCAUACGAGAAGCCAUAUAAGAAGGAGAGGCCCUGAGAGAAAAGCCUAGCUAGAGGAAUUUAAGGCCAGACCCCUGCUGACCUACUAGCUGGGUGAAUCCACAUGAGUGACCAUUGGCAAGAUCAACAGAAGAGUCACCCAGCUAAGACCGGAUUGCAGAAUUGUAAGCAAAUAAAAUGUUUAUUGUUUUAAGCCA